This is a long non-coding RNA of Contarinia nasturtii (swede midge), 272 nucleotides long. RefSeq lists it as uncharacterized. The record is from RefSeq and is a predicted model, not a curated record. The transcript has 3 exons. Lineage: Eukaryota; Metazoa; Arthropoda; Insecta; Diptera; Cecidomyiidae.
CAGGGGAACGUCCUUUCCAGUGCGGGCAGUGUCUGAAGACAUUUACACAGAAGUGCGCUCUAACAUUGCACACACGAAUUCAUACGGGUUAUUGGAGCAUGCAUAAGCCGUUCCAGUGUACCCAAUGCAAUGCUGCAUUCUGCCGUAAACCAUAUCUUGACAUUCAUAUGCGAAUACACACUGGUGAACGUCCUUUCCAAUGCGAGGUAUGCUUGAAACGUUUCACACAGAAAUCAACGCUCAAUAUCCAUAAGCGAAUUCACACUGGUUAG